UACGGAGGGUGCAAGCGUUAUCCGGAUUCACUGGGUUUAAAGGGUGCGUAGGUGGGCAGGUAAGUCAGUGGUGAAAUCUCCGGGCUUAACCCGGAAACUGCCAUUGAUACUAUUUGUCUUGAAUACUGUGGAGGUCAGCGGAAUAUGUCAUGUAGCGGUGAAAUGCUUAGAUAUGACAUAGAACACCAAUUGCGAAGGCAGCUGGCUGCACAAAUAUUGACACUGAGGCACGAAAGCGUGGGGAGCAAACAGG
RNAcentral lists this ribosomal RNA (253 nucleotides) under uncultured bacterium. RNAcentral describes it as "partial 16S ribosomal RNA". It matches the Rfam family "Bacterial small subunit ribosomal RNA", at positions 524 to 776 of the family's 1533-position model. The record is from RNAcentral.